RNAcentral lists this ribosomal RNA (425 nucleotides) under uncultured bacterium. RNAcentral describes it as "partial 16S ribosomal RNA". It matches the Rfam family "Bacterial small subunit ribosomal RNA", at positions 354 to 796 of the family's 1533-position model. The record is from RNAcentral.
GUGGGGAAUAUUGGGCAAUGGGCGAAAGCCUGACCCAGCAACGCCGCGUGAAGGAAGAAGGUCUUCGGAUCGUAAACUUCUAUCCUUGGUGAAGAUAAUGACGGUAGCCGAGAAGGAAGCCCCGGCUAACUACGUGCCAGCAGCCGCGGUAAUACGUAGGGGGCAAGCGUUGUCCGGAAUGAUUGGGCGUAAAGGGCGCGUAGGCGGCCUGGUAAGUCUGAAGUGAAAGUCCUGCUUUUAAGGUGGGAAUUGCUUUGGAUACUGUCGGGCUUGAGUGCAGGAGAGGUAAGCGGAAUUCCCGGUGUAGCGGUGAAAUGCGUAGAGAUCGGGAGGAACACCAGUGGCGAAGGCGGCUUACUGGACUGUAACUGACGCUGAGGCGCGAAAGUGUGGGGAGCAAACAGGAUUAGAUACCCGGGUAGUCC